Molecule: ribosomal RNA, 506 nt
Filed under: uncultured bacterium
Lineage: Bacteria
Description: partial 16S ribosomal RNA
Rfam family: Bacterial small subunit ribosomal RNA
Source: RNAcentral
AUUGAACGCUGGCGGCAUGCCUCACACAUGCAAGUCGAACGGCAGCAUGGAAGAGCUUGCUCUUCUGAUGGCGAGUGGUGAACGGGUGAGUAAAGCAUCGGAACGUACCGUGUAGUGGGGGAUAACGUGGCGAAAGUUACGCUAAUACCGCAUACGCACUGAGGUGGAAAGCAGGGGUUCGCAAGACCUUGCGCUAUACGAGCGGCCGAUGUCAGAUUAGCUAGUUGGUAGGGUAAAGGCCUACCAAGGCGACGAUCUGUAGCGGGUCUGAGAGGAUGAUCCGCCACACUGGGACUGAGACACGGCCCAGACUCCUACGGGAGGCAGCAGUGGGGAAUUUUGGACAAUGGGCGAAAGCCUGAUCCAGCCAUGCCGCGUGAGUGAAGAAGGCCUUCGGGUUGUAAAGCUCUUUCGGCUGGGAAGAAAUCGCACAGGCUAAUACUCUGUGUGGAUGACGGUACCAGCACAAGAAGCACCGGCUAACUACGUGCCAGCAGCCGCGGUAA